GCUGCACUUCGGCAGCCCAUAUAGUAACACUGGAACAGUACAGAGGAUAUUAGCACGGCUGCUGUGCAAGGAUAACACACAGAUUAACGAAGCAACCCAUGGAACA
Molecule: small nuclear RNA, 106 nt
Filed under: Buceros rhinoceros silvestris
Lineage: Eukaryota; Metazoa; Chordata; Aves; Bucerotiformes; Bucerotidae
Source: RNAcentral